RNAcentral lists this ribosomal RNA (408 nucleotides) under Fusobacteriota bacterium. RNAcentral's name for it is "Fusobacteria bacterium partial 16S ribosomal RNA". It matches the Rfam family "Bacterial small subunit ribosomal RNA", at positions 355 to 776 of the family's 1533-position model. Lineage: Bacteria; Fusobacteriati; Fusobacteriota. The record is from RNAcentral.
UGGGGAAUAUUGCACAAUGGACGGAAGUCUGAUGCAGCAACGCCGCGUGCGGGAUGACGGCCUUCGGGUUGUAAACCGCUUUUUCUCAUGACGAAGUUUUUUGACGGGAGUGGGGGAAGAAGCACCGGCUAACUACGUGCCAGCAGCCGCGGUGAUACGUAGGGUGCGAGCGUUGUCCGGAAUUAUUGGGCGUAAAGAGCUUGUAGGCGGUUUGUCGCGUCGAUAGUGCAAACUCAGUGCUUAACGCUGAGCCUGCUGUUGAUACGGGCAGACUAGAGGAAGGUAGGGGAGAAUGGAAUUCCCGGUGGAGCGGUGGAAUGCGCAGAUAUCGGGAGGAACACCGGUGGCGAAGGCGGUUCUCUGGGCCUUUCCUGACGCUGAGAAGCGAAAGCGUGGGGAGCGAACAGG